UUAGGGCUUACUCAACACUAUGGGCUUACUACUCAAUAGUUGUAGGCUUACUUCUAACAUGGACUAAUAACUUAUAACUCAUAACUAGUAACAGACUGAAACAAAUAUACCCGCGCCUAGGAACUUCAUUCAACUUAUACGACUUCGGGCCCAUAUCUUGGUAUCCGACUAAUGCACCGAUUAUCAGAUAUCUUGGUAAAUGUACCGAUUAUCUGAGAGAAAGCGAAAAGAGAGAGAGCCCCUACUGCCAAGAAUGAUAAGAAGCUGCGAGAAAGUAAAGGUGUUUGCCUCUCGAUAACUUAAGGGCAGAACCACUUGUCUUUUGAUUUGAUUGAUUUCGUAGUAUAAGCCUUUCACUCC
This 360-nucleotide long non-coding RNA is filed under the name Musa acuminata (dwarf banana). RNAcentral's name for it is "long non-coding RNA (MACU_LNC009992)". Lineage: Eukaryota; Viridiplantae; Streptophyta; Magnoliopsida; Zingiberales; Musaceae. The record is from RNAcentral.